Molecule: ribosomal RNA, 263 nt
Filed under: Escherichia coli
Lineage: Bacteria; Pseudomonadati; Pseudomonadota; Gammaproteobacteria; Enterobacterales; Enterobacteriaceae
Description: partial 16S ribosomal RNA
Rfam family: Bacterial small subunit ribosomal RNA
Source: RNAcentral
AAAUUGAAGAGUUUGAUCAUGGCUCAGAUUGAACGCUGGCGGCAGGCCUAACACAUGCAAGUCGAACGGUAACAGGAAGCAGCUUGCUGCUUUGCUGACGAGUGGCGGACGGGUGAGUAAUGUCUGGGAAACUGCCUGAUGGAGGGGGGUAACUACUGGAAACGGUAGCUAAUACCGCAUAACGUCGCAAGACCAAAGAGGGGGACCUUCGGGCCUCUUGCCAUCGGAUGUGCCCAGAUGGGAUUAGCUAGUAGGUGGGGUAA